This is a long non-coding RNA of Thunnus maccoyii (southern bluefin tuna), 483 nucleotides long. RefSeq lists it as uncharacterized. The transcript is spliced from 2 exons. Lineage: Eukaryota; Metazoa; Chordata; Actinopteri; Scombriformes; Scombridae. The record is from RefSeq and is a predicted model, not a curated record.
ACAAAUAAUUUUGUUAACUGAAAGGAUUUCAGGGAAUGUACCUUCAUUGUAAACAAGUCUGUUUCUUUUCACCUCACUGUAGUUGCAGCUAUUUGACAAAAAUGAACGACUUUUUGCUAAAGUGGGUUACUUAGAGAGCAGACUAGGUCAUCUGGCCAGCUCCAACACAGAUCUGUCCUGCAGGCUAGUCCAGAGUGAAGAGGAGAGACUGAAGAUAUCUAAGGAGCUUGUGGAGGAGAAAAUUCAGACAAACAAGACGAGAGAGCAGUUUGAAGAAGAGACAUUUGAGCUAAAAAACAAGGUGAGGGUUUAUCUGAAGUGAUAAAUAAAAACAGUGGAUAAACUCAGGCCUUUAUCUGAUGAGUAUAACAGAUACUCAUUUCAACUGAGCAUACUUCUAAUGAGUGUGAUAUAUCUGUAUACAGCACUAAUCUUUACUUUUUUGUUUCACAAUAAAAGGAUUUGAGGACAAGAAAGAUUUAA